RNAcentral lists this ribosomal RNA (460 nucleotides) under uncultured bacterium. Its description in RNAcentral is "partial 16S ribosomal RNA". It matches the Rfam family "Bacterial small subunit ribosomal RNA", at positions 338 to 795 of the family's 1533-position model. The record is from RNAcentral.
CCUACGGGAGGCUGCAGUGAGGAAUAUUGGUCAAUGGACGAGAGUCUGAACCAGCCAAGUAGCGUGAAGGAUGACUGCCCUAUGGGUUGUAAACUUCUUUUAUAUGGGAAUAAAAUGUUCCACGUGUGGGAUUUUGUAUGUACCAUAUGAAUAAGGAUCGGCUAACUCCGUGCCAGCAGCCGCGGUAAUACGGAGGAUCCGAGCGUUAUCCGGAUUUAUUGGGUUUAAAGGGGGCGUAGGUGGAUUGUUAAGUCAGUUGUGAAAGUUUGCGGCUCAACCGUAAAAUUGCAGUUGAAACUGGCAGUCUUGAGUACAGUAGAGGUGGGCGGAAUGCGUGGUGGAGCGGUGAAAUGCUUAGAUAUCACGAAGAACUCCGAUUGCGAAGGCAGUUCACUGGACUGCAACUGACACUGAGGCUCGAAAGUGUGGGUAUCAAACAGGAUUAGAUACCCCAGUAGUC